This 586-nucleotide ribosomal RNA is filed under the name uncultured bacterium. RNAcentral's name for it is "bacterial SSU rRNA". It matches the Rfam family "Bacterial small subunit ribosomal RNA", at positions 187 to 755 of the family's 1533-position model. The record is from RNAcentral.
CACAUGGUGACAGUUGUUAAAGCGGGGGAUCUUCGGACCUCGCGCCUAGAGAGGAGCCUGCGGCGGAUUAGCUAGUUGGUGGGGUAAUGGCUCACCAAGGCAACGAUCCGUAGCCGGCCUGAGAGGGCGGUCGGCCACACUGGCACUGACAUACGGGCCAGACUCCUACGGGAGGCAGCAGUCGGGAAUUUUGGGCAAUGGGCGAAAGCCUGACCCAGCAACGCCGCGUGGAGGAUGAAGUUUCUCGGAAUGUAAACUCCGUAAGAAUGGGACGAAUAAAAAGGGGUUAACACCCUCUUUGAUGACGGUACCAUUCGUAAGCUCCGGCUAACUCCGUGCCAGCAGCCGCGGUAAUACGGGGGGAGCAAGCGUUGUUCGGAUUUACUGGGCGUAAAGGGCGCGUAGGCGGCGCAACAAGUCACUUGUGAAAUCUCCGGGCUUAACCCGGAGCGGCCAAGUGAUACUGUCGUGCUAGAGUGCGGAAGGGGCUACUGGAAUUCCUGGUGUAGCGGUGAAAUGCGCAGAUAUCAGGAGGAACACCGGUGGCGAAGGCGGGUCUCUGGGCCGAUACUGACGCUGAGGAGCG